AUGGAGGGAGAAUCUAGCAGGUUUUUUAUCUCGGACCAGUGGAACAUUUUUUUUCUCAAAUACACACGAGAGAGUGUGUAUCAUUCAUUAGAGAAGGACGAGUGGAACAUGAGCGACGAGGAGUGGGCCGGGAUGUCUGAGUUCGCCCAGCGCGAGAUCAUGCAGAUCGUCUCCAAGGAAGAAGAGACCCGCCGCCGCAUCAUCCGUGCCCGCGGCAGCGGCGAUCCCAACAGCAAGGCAGAGGAGGAGAGCCGCCCCCGCGGCCGCGUCCUCACGAUCGGUGGCAGGGACUCCAAGAUCCCUGUCCGGCCGUCGCACAGUUACGACGGGACGGCAGUAUGA
Molecule: ribosomal RNA, 342 nt
Filed under: Triticum aestivum (bread wheat)
Lineage: Eukaryota; Viridiplantae; Streptophyta; Magnoliopsida; Poales; Poaceae
Description: partial small subunit ribosomal RNA
Source: RNAcentral